CGGAAAUGAAAACUACAGUUAGACCUCUUUAUAACCACAUUUCAUUAUAACAAUCAAGUUCUCGUAAUCGAUUUUCGUCUCUCCUUCAAAAAUCUCAAUUGUAAGGCCUAUCUGAUUUUUCAAUCUCUCCUUCAACAAUUCCAAUAGUAAGUGCCCUGCCUCCUAUGCAAGGAUCCCAAAAAUUGGAUCAAUUGAGGAUCCACAACUUACAAGAAGUAUAAGAGAGACUAGUUCGAUGAUUUG
RNAcentral lists this unclassified non-coding RNA (243 nucleotides) under Hevea brasiliensis (rubber tree). Lineage: Eukaryota; Viridiplantae; Streptophyta; Magnoliopsida; Malpighiales; Euphorbiaceae. The record is from RNAcentral.